GACGAACGCUGGCGGCAUGCCUAACACAUGCAAGUCGAACGAUUACCUUCGGGUGAUGGUGGCUCCCGGGUUCGUAACGCGUUGGAAUAUGCCUUAAGAUUCUGCAUAACACCUUGAAACGGCUGCUAAUACCGGAUGAUAUCGCGAGAUCAGAGCUUUAUCGGCUGGGGGUGAGCUGGCGUGUGUUUAGGUAGGUGGUGGGGUAAGGGCCUACCAAGCCGACGUUCCAUAGCUGGUCUGAGCGGAGGAUCAGCCACACUGGGACUGAGGCACGGCCCAGAAUCCGACGGGAGGCAGCGGUGGGGAAUAUAGGGCGCGGGGCGCAAGCCUGAUACAGCAAUGCGGCGUGAGUGAUGAAGGGCGUAGGAUUGUAAAGCUGUUUGAGCCGGGAAGAUAAUGACGGUACCGGGUGAAGAAGCCCCGGCUAACUACGUG
RNAcentral lists this ribosomal RNA (435 nucleotides) under uncultured bacterium. RNAcentral describes it as "partial 16S ribosomal RNA". It matches the Rfam family "Bacterial small subunit ribosomal RNA", at positions 28 to 507 of the family's 1533-position model. The record is from RNAcentral.